Non-coding RNA from Xyrichtys novacula (pearly razorfish), 580 nucleotides. The record is from the annotation of a GenBank genome assembly. Lineage: Eukaryota; Metazoa; Chordata; Actinopteri; Labriformes; Labridae.
GUUUUUGGUUGCUGGAAGCACAUGUUGGCAAAUUUUGGUGAAACGGCCAUCCAUUCUUCUUCUGUUCCAUUCUUGUGGCAUUGCCAGUGAGUAUAUUAUAAUUUAAGAACCUGAGAAGCAAAUGUAUGUUAACAUUUGAUGCAGAUUACCUCAUUUUGUUGUAUAUUUAUUUGAUUCAUUUUUGUAGUUAGCUGUGGCUAGCUUAAUUUACCUCUUUAAGAGACAGUAAUACUGACAGUUUGUAGCCAAGUGCUUGUUAUAUUUACCUUUAGUAUUACCUGCCUGUAAUAUUUAUAUGUGUUAUUUCUUUAUUUAUUUCAGUUUUACCUUUUCUUCAUCAAAUUCCUGCCAAAUACACGUGGCCUGUUCAUUGGAGGAACCUUUUGGAGAGAUAAGUUAUGCUAGCUGUUUUAUACAUAUGAGGACAGUAUAGUAGUCAGAGAUGUGACAUUUGCAGCCGAUUUGAUGUAUACAAAAAGAAGUUAGUAAAUACCAUGAUGUAAUGGUAAGUUUAACACCUGAAGAGAUUCUUAGUGGUAUGGGGGUCAUAGCUUGACUAAUGGUUGACAACAAAUACAGG